CUGAAACACAGUAAAAUGACUUAUGUCAAAGAUAAGAAACUGGAGACUAGAGGAUCCCUGCAGAGAAUUUGAAGUUCAGCUUGCCCGUGGCCAAGUAACUAGCAGAAGGAGGAGGCUGGUGUUCAAAGGCAGCCACAAAGGGCUUAUGGGCCCACACUCAAGCCCCCCACCACUCGUCUGCCCUGUACACGUGAUCAUAUGGCCACCACCUACGUAUUUACAUACCACCUACAUAAUGUGGACAACCCGUCUCAGAUUCAAAUGGACUCUGUAGCUGCAACAUUCCUGCCUUCUCCUCACUGGAGUAUUAACAGGCUCUGGUAGAAGUGGAAUGAUGAGAAUCAGAGGACAGACAUCUCUCUGGGAGCUGCUUUUCCCUAAGACCAGGGAUACAAUUUCUGAACACAUUCUUAAUUUUAUCCCAUGUAUCUAGACAUUAAUCCUAGUCUGAUAAAUUCCUGGAGUGCCC
RNAcentral lists this long non-coding RNA (469 nucleotides) under Homo sapiens (human). Its description in RNAcentral is "non-protein coding lnc-CETN1-1:1". The record is from RNAcentral. Lineage: Eukaryota; Metazoa; Chordata; Mammalia; Primates; Hominidae.